CGGUUAAAAAGCUCGUAGUUGGAUUUCUGUCGAGGUCAACCGGUGCACAUUUCAUGUCGCAUUUGGUUUGGUCUUGGCAUCCUCGUGGGGAACGUUUCUGGACUUUAUUGGACAGGGCGAGAUUCACGACUUUUACUUUGAGGAAAUUAGAGUGUUCACGGCAGGCAAGUGCUUUGAAUACAUUAGCACGGAAUAAUAAUAUAGGACCUUCGUUCUAUUUUGUUGGUUUCUAGAACUUAGGUAAUGAUUAAUAGGGACAAUUGGGGGCAUUCGUAUUAACGCGUCAGAGGUGGAAUUCUUGGAUUGCGUUACGACGAACUACUGCGAAAGCAUUUGCCAAAGAUGUUUUCAUUGAUCAAGAACGAAAGUAUGGGGAUCGAAGACGCUUAGAUACCGUCGUAGUCUAUACCAUAAACUAUGCCAACUAGGGAUUGGAGGGGUUAUCCUAUGUGGCUCCUUCAGCACCUUAUGAGAAAUCAAAGUUUUUGGGUUCCGGGGGGAGUAUGGUCGCAAGGCUGAAACUUAAAGGAAUUGACGGAAGGGCACCACCAGGAGUGGAGCCUGCGGCUUAAUUUGACUCAACACGGGAAAACUCACCACGUCCAGACAUAGUAAGGAUUGACAGAUUGAUAGCUCUUUCU
RNAcentral lists this ribosomal RNA (641 nucleotides) under uncultured marine eukaryote. Its description in RNAcentral is "SSU rRNA". It matches the Rfam family "Eukaryotic small subunit ribosomal RNA", at positions 616 to 1262 of the family's 1831-position model. The record is from RNAcentral.